AUUUCAUCUGCUGCUUAUAGAGUAACUCUCCCUACUUCCUUCUAUCUACUUCCGGCAAUUCUUUUUUUCUCUGAUGGUGUUAGUUUGAACUAGAAUUAGGAUUGAAUUUAAAGUUAUUUAACUGGAAUUUUCAAGUCUUGACUAGGUGAAUCCUUAAUUACUGAAAUCUUGAACUAACAGAUAGUGGUUGCAGGUAGCUCUUAAAUUAAUUCCUGAU
RNAcentral lists this unclassified non-coding RNA (217 nucleotides) under Hevea brasiliensis (rubber tree). The record is from RNAcentral. Lineage: Eukaryota; Viridiplantae; Streptophyta; Magnoliopsida; Malpighiales; Euphorbiaceae.